Molecule: small RNA, 105 nt
Filed under: Salmonella enterica subsp. enterica
Lineage: Bacteria; Pseudomonadati; Pseudomonadota; Gammaproteobacteria; Enterobacterales; Enterobacteriaceae
Description: partial RtT sRNA
Rfam family: RtT RNA
About the family: This family represents a bacterial cis-regulatory element known as RtT RNA. The exact function of RtT is unknown although it is thought that it may be involved in changing the cellular response in relation to amino acid starvation.
Source: RNAcentral
CUCCGGGAGCAGGAGGUUCGACUCGAGCGAAGCGAGAGAACGUUGCGUUAGCAACGGCCCGCAGGGCGAGUCACGCAGUGGCGAGUCAUCCUCUAUCACCGGCAG